AUACGGAGGGUGCAAGCGUUAAUCGGAAUUACUGGGCGUAAAGCGCGCGUAGGCGGUUUAGUAAGUCGGAUGUGAAAGCCCUGGGCUCAACCUGGGAAUUGCAUUCGAUACUGCUUGACUAGAGUAUGGUAGAGGGAAGUGGAAUUUCCGGUGUGGCGGUGAAAUGCGUAGAUAUCGGAAGGAACACCAGUGGCGAAGGCGACUUCCUGGGCCAAUACUGACGCUGAGGUGCGAAAGCGUGGGGAGCAAACAGGAUUAGAUACCCCAGUAGUCC
Molecule: ribosomal RNA, 274 nt
Filed under: uncultured bacterium
Lineage: Bacteria
Description: partial 16S ribosomal RNA
Rfam family: Bacterial small subunit ribosomal RNA
Source: RNAcentral